RNAcentral lists this ribosomal RNA (484 nucleotides) under uncultured bacterium. RNAcentral's name for it is "partial 16S ribosomal RNA". It matches the Rfam family "Bacterial small subunit ribosomal RNA", at positions 30 to 507 of the family's 1533-position model. The record is from RNAcentral.
AUUGAACGCUGGCGGCAGGCCUAACACAUGCAAGUCGAGCGGAUGAAGGGAGCUUGCUCCUGGAUUCAGCGGCGGACGGUUGAGUAAUGCCUAGGAAUCUGCCUGGUCGUGGGGGAUAACGUCCUGAAACGGGCUCUUAUACCGCAUCCGUCCUGUGGUAGACAUUGGGUGAUCUUCGGACCUCACGCUAUCAUAUUAGCCUAGGUCGGAUUAGCUAGUUGGUGGGGUAAAGGCCUACCAAGGCGACGAUCCGUAACUGGUCUGAGAGGAUGACCAGUCACACUGGAACUGAGACACAGUACAGACACCGGCGGGGAGAAGCAGUGGAGAAUAUUAGACGAGGGGGGAGAGGCUGAUCCAGCCAAGCCGCGUGUGGGAAGAAGGUGUUCGGAUGGGAAAGCACUGUAAGUUGGGAGGAAGGGAAGUAAGUUAAUACCGGGCUAUUUUGACGUUACCAACAGAAUAAGCACCGGCUAACUUCGUG